UUUUUUGAAGAUCAUGGAAAAAAUGAAAUAAAAAUUGAAAAAAACAUGAAAAUAAAAUGAAAUGAAGAAAUUGUGGAAACGCGCCCAGCCGGAAUCGAAGCGAGGGAAGGCUCGCUGAUGAAACGACGUCGUUUCAUUAGUGCCCUAGCCAAAACGCAGGAACGGACGCUAUGCUGACGCUAGGUGGACGCUAGUGGCGGAAACCACCGUCUUCUUCAUGAAGACGGUGGUUGUUACUGUUCACAACGAAAUUUUUUUCCAGAAUUUUAAAAUUC
This 275-nucleotide long non-coding RNA is filed under the name Lathyrus oleraceus (garden pea). RNAcentral's name for it is "Pisum sativum (pea) long non-coding RNA (PSAT_LNC032617)". Lineage: Eukaryota; Viridiplantae; Streptophyta; Magnoliopsida; Fabales; Fabaceae. The record is from RNAcentral.